Molecule: ribosomal RNA, 447 nt
Filed under: uncultured bacterium
Lineage: Bacteria
Description: bacterial SSU rRNA
Rfam family: Bacterial small subunit ribosomal RNA
Source: RNAcentral
UCGGGAAUUUUGGGCAAUGGGCGAAAGCCUGACCCAGCAACGCCGCGUGAAGGAUGAAGUAUUUCGGUAUGUAAACUUCGAAAGAAUAGGAAGAAUAAAUGACGGUACUAUUUAUAAGGUCCGGCUAACUACGUGCCAGCAGCCGCGGUAAUACGUAGGGACCAAGCGUUGUUCGGAUUUACUGGGCGUAAAGGGUGCGUAGGCGGCAUAUCAAGUCACUUGUGAAAUCUCCGGGCUUAACUCGGAACUGCCAAGUGAUACUGAUGUGCUAGAGUGCAGAAGGGGCAAUCGGAAUUCUUGGUGUAGCGGUGAAAUGCGUAGAUAUCAAGAGGAACACCUGAGGUGAAGACGGGUUGCUGGGCUGACACUGACGCUGAGGUGCGAAAGCGUGGGGAGCAAACAGGAUUAGAUACCCACGUAGUCCCUGAGCGGGCUGGCAAGGCGCAU